RNAcentral lists this ribosomal RNA (479 nucleotides) under uncultured bacterium. Its description in RNAcentral is "bacterial SSU rRNA". It matches the Rfam family "Bacterial small subunit ribosomal RNA", at positions 28 to 507 of the family's 1533-position model. The record is from RNAcentral.
GAUGAACGCUAGCUACAGGCUUAACACAUGCAAGUCGAGGGGCAGCACAGUGUAGCAAUACAUGGGUGGCGACCGGCGCACGGGUGCGUAACGCGUAUCCAACCUUCCCGUUACUCAGGGAUAGCCUUCCGAAAGGGAGAUUAAUACCUGAUGGUGUUGAAAUUCCGCAUGUUAUUUGGUGAAUCUUGCGCAGGAUGGGGAUGCGUUGGAUUAGCUUGCUGGUGAGGUAACGGCUCACCAGGGCUCCGAUCCAUAGGGGGUUCUGAGAGGAAGGUCCCCCCACACUGGAACUGAGACACGGUCCAGACUCCUACGGGAGGCAGCAGUGAGGAAUAUUGGUCAAUGGUCGGAAGACUGAACCAGCCAAGUAGCGUGAAGGAUGAAGGUUCUAUGGAUUGUAAACUUCUUUUAUACGGGAUAAAACCNCCUACGUGUAGUGCUUGUAUGUACCGUAUGAAUAAGCAUCGGCUAACUCCGUG